GAUGAACGCUGGCGGCGUGCCUAAUACAUGCAAGUCGAGCGAACAGACGAGGAGCUUGCUCCUCUUACGUUAGCGGCGGACGGGUGAGUAACACGUGGAUAACCUACCUAUAAGACUGGGAUAACUUCGGGAAACCGGAGCUAAUACCGGAUAAUAUAUUGAACCGCAUGGUUCAAUAGUGAAAGACGGUUUUGCUGUCACUUAUAGAUGGAUCCGCGCCGCAUUAGCUAGUUGGUAAGGUAACGGCUUACCAAGGCAACGAUGCGUAGCCGACCUGAGAGGGUGAUCGGCCACACUGGAACUGAGACACGGUCCAGACUCCUACGGGAGGCAGCAGUAGGGAAUCUUCCGCAAUGGGCGAAAGCCUGACGGAGCAACGCCGCGUGAGUGAUGAAGGUCUUCGGAUCGUAAAACUCUGUUAUUAGGGAAGAACAAAUGCGUAAGUAACUAUGCACGUCUUGACGGUACCUAAUCAGAAAGCCACGGCUAACUACGUG
Molecule: ribosomal RNA, 497 nt
Filed under: uncultured bacterium
Lineage: Bacteria
Description: partial 16S ribosomal RNA
Rfam family: Bacterial small subunit ribosomal RNA
Source: RNAcentral